GGAUAGUUCCAUUGGUAGAGCAUGAGACUUCAUCUCAGGGUUGUGGGUUCAAGCACCACCUUGGUCA
Podarcis lilfordi (Lilford's wall lizard) is the source of this 67-nucleotide non-coding RNA. The record is from the annotation of a GenBank genome assembly. Lineage: Eukaryota; Metazoa; Chordata; Lepidosauria; Squamata; Lacertidae.